AACCGUCGUAAUAAAAAACCCAAACCCAUUUCGCAGUUCCUCAAUGCCUUCAGAUCAUUCAUUGUUGACUAUGAACAGCGCUUUCUCUUAGCUAUUCUUUAGUUCUAUUUGCCUUGCGUUUCUUUCUUCCUUGUUUCGCAAACCAGUGGCCAGCCUUUAAACUACUCAGGUGCAGGCCCAAGCCCUCAGACAGGAACGGCGGCUGUGCAAACUAGGUCUCAGGCUUGCUCGCCGACUUUCAGAACCGCACCAGGGCGCCUGCGUGGAGGCUGCCGGCCCAUAUCAAUAACCCGGUUGCUUCCAGUUCUUCUAGUUCUUUGCAGAAUAAGCAGCCCAGGGUCCAGCUUCCAGAAUCAGGCACCUCAUCAGCCGGUGAUGAUGAGUCAGAAUGGCUUACGCCCUUUCUGGGGAGGCCGCCGCUAUUAGCAUCUGGCAGUUAGCCCGUAUGUCGAGAAGAAGCCAUCAGAGGUGUAUCGCACUGGAAAGCUGGGCCUUAGAAAGGAUUUAAAACGUAAGGUGUGCUGGUAAUUCAAUAAAGGGCAAUGCCAAAGGCAGUCUUGUAAGUACCCGCAGGAGUGUGAGAGAUGUGCAGGGGCUCACCCAGCCACAGCGUGUUACAAAGGGAAGCGGCCCUUUGGGGAGGUCGGGGCUUCCACCACUCUAGUUCUAGACGAGCCCCCGCAGCAGCGAACCAUCGAUAAAGUCCUUCUGGGUCUAGCAUUUUCUCCAAUUCAGCUUUCUCCUCUCCUCAACCUCUUGUCUAUCCAUCCGGACGGAAGUGCAGCAUCCUAUCUUUGGAAGGGUUUCUCAGAGGGUUUCAGAAUCCCAGUAGUUGGCUCCUUAACCGCGAAGGACUCUCCUAAUCAGAAGUCAGUAAGGGAAAGGACGCUCGCCUCACCCAACGGGUAGCUAGCCCCACCCCUGGGUGCACACUAUGUGUGCCACUUUGGGUGCCAGAGCAGCUAGCUCCGCCUCUGGAGUCACACUAUGGCAUACAGCUAAUUGGGAUGAACCCAACAGGGCCGCCACUUAGCCCCUGCUUGGUCUCCAGGACAGAGGCACCCCUUCCCAGACCCACCCCCCUUUUGAGAUUAUUAGGCAACCAAAUGUAUCAUUCCAUAACACCUCAUACAGGAAUUAUUAUUAUUAUUAUUAUUAUUAUUUUCCCAUGGGGAACCUGCCUUUUUCUCCCAGAUCAACUACAAGAGCAAGACCACAGCUUUAACAAAAUGACAGCCCAAACAGGAAGACACAUGGGAGCAAUGGUACUGCUUUGAAGUGUUCCAGAUCCAUUUCCUGUUCUCCCAAUGAGCAGGGCAGCUGUGGGCAAAAUUGCAAAGAAGUACAAUAAUGAUUUAGUCCUUAGUCCUAUAAUCUAGUAAGCCUUUAAGCCCAACAGUCGAAAUCGCAUAAUUUCAAUGCUUUAACUAUAUUAGGGAACAUGUAUAGUUAGUAAACAAAUUGCUAGUUUGGUGAGAAAUAGCAUUUCACUGAAGUGGAUAACGCUUUUGCCAAGAGCUCACCUUUGGCAAUCUUCUAGAACAUGUUGCAUAUGUAGCAGUUCUUUCUAGCUAGAGUGAAACUGAAACCUGACAUUUACAGUACCAGAUAGAAGUGUUCUGGUAUGUCCUGGCUGUGUCUGGAAUGUCCUGGCCGUGUCUGUAGUACAACAGUUUUGGAAAUCUGUAGGAGAGCAUCCCACCAAUCUCUUGUCAUACUAACAAUCGUGUUAUCAACUAACAAUCAAAAGUGCAAAAAUUUUAGCUACAUGGGCAACAGGAUGUUGGCUAGAAGCAACUGGUUUUCUGAAGCUAAAACUUACAAUUUUGUUCUAGGAGUUACUUGAUCACAAUAUAGAACUAUUUGUUUAUUCCUUAAGAGUUUUACACAUGAUGAAAACGUAUACUCAGGCAGAUAAUUUUAUAAUCACUGUACUAUACUAUGAUACAGUGCAUAAUGAACAUCCACAUUCAGUUAGUCUGUGUGCCAGCCCCCCUUCAGAUUCAGCACAGAGAGCACCAAGUGACUCAGAAACAAAUCAGAAGUUUAAAAUUCAUGAUACAAAAUGAGUCUUGGGGCCUAUGUGCAUACCUAACCU
Molecule: non-coding RNA, 2098 nt
Organism: Podarcis lilfordi (Lilford's wall lizard)
Lineage: Eukaryota; Metazoa; Chordata; Lepidosauria; Squamata; Lacertidae
Source: the annotation of a GenBank genome assembly